Long non-coding RNA from Gordionus sp. m RMFG-2023, 172 nucleotides. RefSeq lists it as uncharacterized. The transcript is spliced from 3 exons. The record is from RefSeq and is a predicted model, not a curated record. NCBI's taxonomy places the organism in Eukaryota, Metazoa, Nematomorpha, Gordioida, Chordodea, Parachordodidae.
ACCGUUUACAAAUUUUUGAAUAUCCAUAUAUAGAAACAGGAGAACAAAUUAGUACACAGGAGAACAAAUUAGUACACAGGAGAACAAAUUAGUACACAGGAGAACAAAUUAAUACAGGAGAACAAAUUAAGUUUACAAAUUACUACUUAUAUAGAAACACAGGAGAACAUAU